AGUCACUGACAUUAGAUACCCCCGUAGUCCAGGGUGUAAACGCUGCAGACUUGGUGUUGGAAGCCCUUUGGGGGCAUUCAGUGCCGGAGAGAAGUUGUUAAGUCUGCUACUUGGGGAGUACGUCCGCAAGGAUGAAACUUAAAGGAAUUGGCGGGGGAGCACCGCAACGGGAGGAGCAUGCGGUUUAAUUGGAUUCAACACCGUAAAACUCACCAGGGAAGACUGUUACAUGAAGGCCGAGAUGAAGACUCUGCCAGAUUUUCAG
RNAcentral lists this ribosomal RNA (265 nucleotides) under uncultured archaeon. RNAcentral's name for it is "partial 16S ribosomal RNA". It matches the Rfam family "Archaeal small subunit ribosomal RNA", at positions 718 to 982 of the family's 1478-position model. The record is from RNAcentral.